Molecule: unclassified non-coding RNA, 993 nt
Filed under: Hevea brasiliensis (rubber tree)
Lineage: Eukaryota; Viridiplantae; Streptophyta; Magnoliopsida; Malpighiales; Euphorbiaceae
Source: RNAcentral
CGAUGAUGAUUGGGAAGGUGUAGAAAGUACUGAGUUGGAUGAGGCGUUUAGUGCUGCGACAGCGUUUGUGGUUGCUACGGCAGCUGAUCGGUCGCAUAAGGUAUCAAAUGAGGUGCAACUGCAGCUCUAUGGGCUUUAUAAGAUUGCGACUGAGGGACCUUGCACUGCUCCACAGCCAUCGGCUCUCAAAAUGACUGCUCGUGCCAAAUGGCAAGCAUGGCAGAAAUUGGGUGCCAUGCCUCCUGAAGAAGCCAUGGAGAAGUAUCUUGAUAUCGUGACCGAGUUAUUUCCUUCCUGGCUUGAUGGGUCUGCAAAUAAAAAGAAGGGUGAAGAAAGUAGUGGUGCACAUAAUGCAGAUACUAGAGGGCGGCCGAUGGGACCAGUUUUCAGUACCUUCAUUAGUGAGGAGGAUUCCGAAAAUGAGUUAAAAUUGGAUGAGAUACAUGCCUUUGCACGAGAAGGGGAUGACGAGAACUUGCUUAAGUGCAUUGAGAGUGGCGUUCCUGUGGAUGUGAAAGACAGUGAGGGCCGUGCCCCCUUACACUGGGCUGUCGAUCGUGGUCAUCUCAACAUCACUAAAUUGCUUUUAAGCAGGAAUGCAGAUGUAAAUGCCAAGGACCUUGAAGGCCAAACGGCACUGCAUUAUGCUGCUGUUUGUGAAAGGGCAGAUAUUGCUGAGUUUCUCGUAAAGCAUGGUGCUGACGUAGAGAUCAAGGAUAAUGAAGGUGACUGCCCUCGUGAUGUCUGUGAGUUGCACUGGCCUUGGUUGCAGCAGGCCACUGUCCACAACUAACGUACAUCAUAUUUUGUCUUUUUUCCUCCUUUUCUACUGAUCGAUCAUGUUACUGCUGUACAUGCUUAUGUAGCCACCUAUUUAUCAUCUUUCGAGGAAUGGAUUUUCUCUUCUAGAUUUUAGUAAAGCAUGCUAUCUUUUGUAGCUUCUGUGCUGUCACUUAAAAACAGAGCAUGGAGCAAUAAGAUUGCCACUUGAAG